RNAcentral lists this ribosomal RNA (253 nucleotides) under uncultured bacterium. RNAcentral's name for it is "partial 16S ribosomal RNA". It matches the Rfam family "Bacterial small subunit ribosomal RNA", at positions 524 to 776 of the family's 1533-position model. The record is from RNAcentral.
UACGUAGGGUGCAGGCGUUAAUCGGAAUUACUGGGCGUAAAGCGUGCGCAGGCGGUUUGCUAAGACAGGUGUGAAAUCCCCGGGCUUAACCUGGGAACUGCGCUUGUUACUGGCAGGCUUGAGUGUGGCAGAGGGGGGUGGAAUUCCACGUGUAGCAGUGAAAUGCGUAGAGAUGUGAAGGAACACCGAUGGCGAAGGCAGCCCCCUGGGCUAACACUGACGCUCAUGCACGAAAGCGUGGGGAGCAAACAGG